Molecule: RNA transcript, 805 nt
Organism: Fragaria vesca subsp. vesca
Lineage: Eukaryota; Viridiplantae; Streptophyta; Magnoliopsida; Rosales; Rosaceae
Exons: 4
Source: RefSeq, a predicted model, not a curated record
ACCUCUCCUCCUCUUCUCUCUCCUUCUCUCGACUCUUCCUGAAAACCAGAGAAACCGACGUCGACCUUUGACGCCGUCCUUGCCAUCCGGCCACCGUUUGGGUUGCAUGUGCACCAAAUUGAUUUCCUCUCAUCAUCACCGGCACGCUGGGGGUGGUAGUUCAAAUCAAUCAAUGUCUAGGGAACUGGAUAAUAUUGGAGGCUCAAGGGAAGAAUCGGUCCGGCAGAUUUGCUUUUAGUUGAGUUUGAUAAUUAUCGGAGUGAAUUUACAGGGAAGCAAGCAAUCAAGUAUUUGGGGUUGAGUCUCAGUUCUACUUUGAAAAAGUUGGUAAUGAGAUGAAGGAAGAAAGUAAAAUGGGAGGCUACCCUGUCCACUAUCAUUAAGGGGAGCUCAUGGAGUACUACUGUAUUCUUUGUUGGGUGCAGAGAUCAAUUCCGGCGACGAAGUCAAGUUCCAAAGAAUCAAGGAAGAGUAAAGCAGAGAAAGCUUUCAGUUGCUGCCGAGCCUCACUAUGAAAUGCAGAGAACAAGGCUUAGAGUUGGGCCAUGGUGGAAUUUGAUCAUUAAGGUGAGUUAGGAAUCUGAUUUCAGUUGAUAAUUGGUAUUGUGAUUCAGUGGAUUUGAUUGACUUAGUCUCAGACUUUGAGUAUAGCAAGUUUGUCUUCAGUGUUGUAAAAGUGAGCACGUAAGCACCUUAAUUAGUUGGUAAUUGUUAUGAGCUAGAACUCUUAUCAUAAUUGGAAGCAAGUGCACUGUUUGUUAGCAAAUAAGUGAGGGUUUUGCUGCAAUUAAAUUAGACUUUGCAA